This 698-nucleotide long non-coding RNA is filed under the name Marmota monax (woodchuck). The record is from RNAcentral. Lineage: Eukaryota; Metazoa; Chordata; Mammalia; Rodentia; Sciuridae.
ACGGGGGAAGUCAGCGUGGCAAGACGCAGACAGCAGACAUGGAGAUGAUCUCCUGGAGGCAGGAGGAGUGGGGGACGCAGGGGGGAAUGUGGACCAGCCUGUCCCCGGGGCCUGCACACUUGCCUUCUCAUUCUGCUGCUCCCGUUGCCUGACUUGGUUGGAGCCCCUCUUAACUCUCCUGCCCUCUGGCACCCUGCAGUCCUUUCUGAACCAACUCCCUGCUCCUGCAAGGUAGGGCUCUCUCUAGUCCUCUGUGUCCCUCUCAGGACCCUUUAGCGACUCACAGGAACCUGGAAACCAAUCUCAUGUUCUCCUGGAGGAAAGGGCCUUAUCUCUGGGUUCAUAGGACUGGCCCCCACUGCCCUGUGCUCAGCAGUCACCACUCGUCCCCACCCUAUGGUGGCAGCUGGCUCUGAGCAGCAAGCUCUCACUGAGCAGAGACCCUCCCACCUUGUCCGUGGGCACCUGGUCACCAGUCGUCGGCUCCUCACAGGAGAAAGGUUUCCCACCAGUGCUGGUGAAAGUGGUGGGUGGACCUCUCUGUGCCUAUGUAAAUGUCUGGACCCCCAUGAAGACAGAGGGAGAGGGAGGGACAGAUGAGAGCAUCCUUCAUGUUCUGUGACACUCGGGUUUUCAGAUGUGACUUUCCCCAGUGGAAGCAGGCCUGGAGUGGGACAGUGGGCUGCAGGUCCCACCAC